AUGGAGUCUCAGCACGCCUCCAGGGGCCGCCGCACCCUGGAGGAGAUCCGGCAGAAGAGGGCAGCCGAGAGGAUGCAGCAGCAAACGCCCGCCGCGACCGCGUCCCACGGCGACCCUCACGGGAACCAAAGAGCCGCGGCAGAGCUCCUUGCACGAGUUCAACAACUUGAAAAUGGGAACUUGGAAUUGGAGAGGGAAAACCAAAUGCUGAUGUCCAAGGAAGUCGAAAAGGAUUCCCUGGUUAACCGAUUGAAUGACAUCGAGAAAAAUGUAGUGCCCUCGUUGAAAAAGGCUCUAAAUGACAUUUCAUUGGAGAAAGACGCUGCAGUUAUCGCUAAGGAGGAUGCUCUAGCGCAAGUAAGGAGCAUGAAGAAGCGGUUGAGAGAGGCAGAAGAGGAGCAGUACAGGGCAGAAGAAGACUCUGCAUCCUUGAGAGCGCAGCUCAAUACCCUGCAGCAGCAAGUAAUGAGCAACUCUUACAGUGGAUAUGCAGUGGGAACAUCAAGUGAGCAAACUCUUGCCAUGGAAAAGGAGAUACAGGAUUUACAAACUCAGCUAAAGCAAGAGUCACUGCUAAGGCAACAGGAGCAGCAAAAACUAGCUGAAGAGUCCCUACUGAGGCAGCAAGAUCAGCAAAGGCUAGUUGAAGAACAAUCCCGUACCACUUCUCUUGCGGCUGAAAAGCGAGAGAUGGAAGAGAAAAUUGCUGCAUUAACAAAGAAAUCUUCAGAAGAGGCUUCUGAAUUUGCUGCACGCAAGGCAUUUUCAAUGCAAGAUAGGGAAAAACUUGAAAACCAGUUGCAUGAUAUGGCUUUGAUGGUUGAGAGGUUAGAGGGCAGCCGCCAAAAGCUGCUGAUGGAGAUUGAUUCCCAGUCAUUAGAAAUAGAGAAUCUGUUUGAGGAGAACUCAGUCUUGUCAACAUCAUAUCAAGAAGCUAUGUCUGUUACGAUGCAAUGGGAGAACCAGGUUAAAGAUUGUCUGAAGCAAAAUGAAGAGCUUCGUCUCCACUUAGAGAAGCUAAGAAUUGAGCAAGCUAACCUGUUGAAAACAAAAAAUACUAGUGUCGAGCUAGAUGGCCAAAGUGAGACCAGCAUCCCACCAGAACUGGUCACAGAGAAUCUUUCUCUAAAGGAUGAACUUGUCAAAGAACAGAGCAGAUCUGAGGGAUUAUCGGCAGAGAUAAUGAAACUUUCAGCUCAGCUUAGAAAGGCAGUCCAAGCACAGAAUAACCUGACACGCUUAUAUAGACCUGUAUUAAAAGACAUCGAGGGUAAUCUGAUGAAAAUGAAACAAGAAACUUAUGCGACAAUUCUAUGA
This 1317-nucleotide ribosomal RNA is filed under the name Triticum aestivum (bread wheat). RNAcentral's name for it is "partial small subunit ribosomal RNA". Lineage: Eukaryota; Viridiplantae; Streptophyta; Magnoliopsida; Poales; Poaceae. The record is from RNAcentral.